AAGGCAGGCUGGGCGGUUGCCCGUAACGGGAGGAAAGUCCGAGCUUUCAAGGGCAAGGUGCCUCGUAACGCGAGGAGUCUGUAAGGACAUGGAAAGCGCCACAGAAAAUAAACUUCCCCAACUGAAUGAUUAAUCAUUUCGUUGUGGUAAAGGUGAAAAGGUGGUGUAAGAGACCACCGCCUUGGUGGAGACAUCAAGGGCACGGCAAGCCCCACCUGAAAGAAAGGCCAAGCAGAAGAGAUGAGGUUGCCCGCCUCUUUUGAUCUUCGGGUAGGCUGUUUGAGGACGGAUGCGAAUCCGCCCCUAGAUGAAUAAUCGCUAUCUGUAUAGAUACAGAACUCGGCUUACAGGCCUGCCUUUAAU
RNAcentral lists this RNase P RNA (363 nucleotides) under Candidatus Zixiibacteriota bacterium. RNAcentral describes it as "candidate division Zixibacteria bacterium RNase P RNA component class A". It matches the Rfam family "Bacterial RNase P class A". Rfam says of the family: Ribonuclease P (RNase P) is a ubiquitous endoribonuclease, found in archaea, bacteria and eukarya as well as chloroplasts and mitochondria. Its best characterised activity is the generation of mature 5'-ends of tRNAs by cleaving the 5'-leader elements of precursor-tRNAs. The record is from RNAcentral. Lineage: Bacteria; Pseudomonadati; Candidatus Zixiibacteriota.